CAAUAGCGUAUAUUAAAGUUGUUGCAGUUAAAAAGCUCGUAGUUGGAUUUCUGAUCGAGACAUCAGGUCGGGUCCGAGAGGAUCAUGUACUUUGAUUUUGUUUUGAUCAUCCUUGGGGAGAGCAUUUCUGGCAUUCAGUUGUCGGGAUUGGGAUCCUCAUCGUUUACUGUGAAAAAAUUAGAGUGUUCAAAGCAGGCCUCGGCCUCUGAAUACAUUAGCAUGGAAUAAUAAGAUAGGACUUUGGUGGUCUAUUUUGUUGGUUUGCACGCCAAAGUAAUGAUUAAUAGGGAUAGUUGGGGGUAUUCGUAUUCAACUGUCAGAGGUGAAAUUCUUGGAUUUAUGGAAGACGAACUACUGCGAAAGCAUUUACCAAGGAUGUUUUCAUUAA
RNAcentral lists this ribosomal RNA (388 nucleotides) under uncultured eukaryote. RNAcentral's name for it is "partial 18S ribosomal RNA". It matches the Rfam family "Eukaryotic small subunit ribosomal RNA", at positions 592 to 976 of the family's 1831-position model. The record is from RNAcentral.